UACGGAGGGUGCAAGCGUUGUCCGGAUUUAUUGGGUUUAAAGGGUGCGUAGGCGGCUAAUUAAGUCAGCGGUGAAAUUCCACAGCUCAACUGUGGAACUGCCAUUGAUACUGGUUGGCUUGAGUACAGAUGAGGUAGGCGGAAUUGACAGUGUAGCGGUGAAAUGCUUAGAUAUUGUCAAGAACACCUAUUGCGAAGGCAGCUUACUAAACUGUAACUGACGCUGAGGCACGAAAGCGUGGGGAGCGAACAGG
This 253-nucleotide ribosomal RNA is filed under the name uncultured bacterium. RNAcentral describes it as "partial 16S ribosomal RNA". It matches the Rfam family "Bacterial small subunit ribosomal RNA", at positions 524 to 776 of the family's 1533-position model. The record is from RNAcentral.